RNAcentral lists this long non-coding RNA (291 nucleotides) under Setaria viridis. Its description in RNAcentral is "long non-coding RNA (SVIR_LNC010595)". The record is from RNAcentral. Lineage: Eukaryota; Viridiplantae; Streptophyta; Magnoliopsida; Poales; Poaceae.
UCUAUGUCAUUUACCUUCUUCCAAGGGCCUUAGCGUAAGAACUAGGGACCCCUGCGCAAAUAAAUCGUAGACACGAGGGUUGGUUUGUAAGUUGUUUUCGGUUUAUUGUUUUGAAUCGGCAGAAAUUAGGUUAAACUUUGUAAAUGCACCGUAAAUCGUAGAAAAAUCAGAAAAAUGCCAAACCACUCUUUGUUGAACUCAGUGAACUGUCUAGUUUCAUGCAAAAAUAAUCUUGUCCAUAUUACUGUUGGAAAUAAUACCCUAUGGUUUUAUUUCUUGCUGAGGCCUUUU